GAUGAACGCUAGCGGCAGGCUUAAUACAUGCAAGUCGUGGGGCAGCAUGAGUGUAGCAAUACAUUUGAUGGCGACCGGCAAACGGGUGCGGAACACGUACACAACCUUCCUUCAAGUGGGGAAUAGCCCAGGGAAACUUGGAUUAAUACCCCGUAAUAUUAUGGAGUGGCAUCACUUUAUAAUUAUAGCUCCGGCGCUUGAUGAUGGGUGUGCGCCUGAUUAGGUAGUUGGCGGGGUAACGGCCCACCAAGCCUUCGAUCAGUAACUGGUGUGAGAGCACGACCAGUCACACGGGCACUGAGACACGGGGCCCACUCCUACGGGAGCAGCAGUAAGGAUAUUGGUCAAUGGACGCAAGUCUGAACCAGCCAUGCCGCGUGAAGGAUGAAGGCCCU
RNAcentral lists this ribosomal RNA (395 nucleotides) under uncultured bacterium. RNAcentral describes it as "bacterial SSU rRNA". It matches the Rfam family "Bacterial small subunit ribosomal RNA", at positions 28 to 418 of the family's 1533-position model. The record is from RNAcentral.